UGAGGAAUAUUGGACAAUGGGGGCAACCCUGAUCCAGCCAUGCCGCGUGAGUGAUGAAGGCCCUAGGGUUGUAAAGCUCUUUCAACGGUGAAGAUGAUGACGGUAGCCGUAGAAGAAGCCCCGGCUAACUUCGUGCCAGCAGCCGCGGUAAUACGAAGGGGGCUAGCGUUGUCCGGAAUUACUGGGCGUAAAGGGCGCGUAGGCUGUGUGUCGCGUCAGAUGUGAAAGCCCCGGGCUCAACCUGGGAACUGCAUUUGAUACGGGCACGCUUGAGUACGAGAGAGGUGAGUGGAAUUCCCAGUGUAGAGGUGAAAUUCGUAGAUAUUGGGAAGAACACCAGUGGCGAAGGCGGCUCUCUGGUCUGUAACUGACGCUGAGGCGCGAAAGCGUGGGGAGCAAGCAGGAUUAGAUACCCCCGUAGUCC
RNAcentral lists this ribosomal RNA (424 nucleotides) under uncultured prokaryote. Its description in RNAcentral is "bacterial SSU rRNA". It matches the Rfam family "Bacterial small subunit ribosomal RNA", at positions 355 to 796 of the family's 1533-position model. The record is from RNAcentral.